This 824-nucleotide transfer RNA is filed under the name Aliivibrio salmonicida. RNAcentral's name for it is "partial 16S-23S ribosomal RNA intergenic spacer". The stretch from base 187 to 259 matches the Rfam family "tRNA". Lineage: Bacteria; Pseudomonadati; Pseudomonadota; Gammaproteobacteria; Vibrionales; Vibrionaceae. The record is from RNAcentral.
CCUUAACGAUAGAUUACGAUUUAUGAGUGUUCACACAGAUUGCCAAGGUUGAAAAUUAAAGAGAAAAGAAGGUGUUUAACACCUUCGCCGUGUCCCGUUCGUCUAGAGGCCUAGGACACCGCCCUUUCACGGCGGUAACAGGGGUUCGACUCCCCUACGGGAUACCACUUCUUUAUGAAGUACAAAGGGUCGUUAGCUCAGUUGGUAGAGCAGUUGACUUUUAAUCAAUUGGUCGCAGGUUCGAAUCCUGCACGACCCACCAUUCUUUCCACUGAGAAUGGGUUUAUUUCUGAUAGAGUUAGGAAUGAAUUGAAAUACUAUGUGGGCGAUUAGCUCAGUUGGGAGAGCACCUCCCUUACAAGGAGGGGGUCACUGGUUCGAGCCCGGUAUCGCCCACCAUUUCAUAUGGAUAUACUCUUUAAAGAUUUUUGGAAGGAUUCCAAACCAGUUCAAGACAUUGACUUAGGUUCGGAUUUUUUUGUCUGAGAAUGCUUAAAAAGUAUUUUGUCAUUUAUAAAUUAAAUGGCGUUAUAUUGCUCUUUAACAAUUUGGAAAGCUGACUGAUUUAGCUUAAUUUAUCUUUACUUUUUAAAAGUAAAACAAAACAGCUCAGGCUGUAAUUAAGUUAAAUCAAAAUUUAAAAGUUCUUAAUAUCUUUUGUUUAUCUUUAGAUAAACAAAUUAAAAACACAUUCAAGUGUUCUUGUAUUUUGAAUCCGGCGAAAAACCAGAACUCUCAAUGAAGAGUUCAACCUUGGUUGCUGUUUUGUCUUCAUUUUUGAAAAGUGAAAGCAAACGUCCAUACGAAACCUCUUGGGGUUGUAU